AGGCUCUGUACAGCAAUAAGCCUGUGAUGGCUGUGCAGAUUUUUCUAAUAGUAUCCAGUCUGAUCGUUGGACUGAUGAUUUUAGCACUGCUUGUCCUUGCCCUCUGGAAGCUUGGAUUCUUUGAGCGGAAGUUGAAGGAGGAGAAGUUUGACCAGGACAGUUGGGACUAUGUACCUAAGAAAGAGAGUGUGUCAUAAUAUGGGAUUUACACCACAAACAAAACCAAUCAGAAUGGAAGGGACAAGCCAUGAAGGACUACUGCUCUGCUGUCACCAAGAGCUGGACUAAUGACCGUAAUGGCUGAGAACAUUCAUCACAAAGCGAUGAAGAGUACAAAGACUGUCAAAAGAAUCAGCAUUUUCUGUCAGCAGGAUGAAGCCAAUGCACUUUAGAGAAUGGAACAUACUACAUGAGCUCAAUGAAUCGCUCCGGGACUGUGCCAAGGGAGAAAAGGAUUCAGAAUGUACUGUCGCUACAGAACGUUACGGCUCUGUUCCAAAACCUAGUGAGCAACCUAUGUAGGCAGCAUUACUUUGGAGGCGAUUCCUCGAGGUAGGAAGCAUGGCCAAAUUUUAAGGCAGCAUUACAAUUUAUAAGGUGCUAUUUGAGUUCGGAUUCUGCCUUAACAGCUGCCUAUUUAGGCUGUAGACAGCAAGGCAGCUCACUAGGUUUUGGAACGGAGCCUAAGUGUUUCAUCACAGGUUUGCCUAUGAUCACUGAACAUAUUGGCUGAUGGCCUGCUGUAGAGGAGAAAUUGCACUGCUGUAGCUUUUCUUACUAAGGUUAUUCCUGUGUUUAUCUGAAGAGAGGCUCGCUCUUUUACGCCCGCAAGUUAGUAUACCCUCCACAGAGGUGACCCAGGAUUUUCUGGCACUUUCCAUCACCCUUUCCGAAGCAGAACAUUGCUGCGAUAGGGGUUUUCACACCUUUGCAUCACUGCAGUAUCGGUUCUUCUUGCAAAAAAAGGAGGAAAUGACACGCAUUCUCUCUCUCCUCCCAAACUCUCGCUGCUGAGUUCAAUAGUUAGAAGUUUAACUGAGACGCCAGAUGGAAGGAGCGAGUGUUUGCUGUGUGCUCUGGCUGGGUGCCAUGGAAACGGGGCAAAGGAGGCUGCUGUUGUGUGUCUAUUACUGCGCUACAGAAGAGUGACAGGAUUGGCAUGUGUCUGGCUCCCAGCCAUUGCUUAAGAGAGUGUGUGUGUGUGUGUGUGUGUGUGUUCAUUUAUAGGACAUGAAAUCCACAAAUAUACAAAGCACCAUCACCACUCACUCAUAUGCAAGACCAUAGCGAAUCCGCACGUGCAGAAAGCUCUCAGCAAAAUUCAAUGUUCAAUGCAAUAUAUAUUUAAGGUUAUAAUUUAAAACAUUUGUAAAAGCAGCACUGAGUAAUUUUUUUUAAUAGAUAAAAAAUAGGACAAAUUUGAGAGAGAAAAAAAUCUAUACAAUUACAGAGAAAGUUUUUGUAUGUUCAAUUAAAUUGAAUUUCCCAAAGCUGAUUAUCA
RNAcentral lists this long non-coding RNA (1501 nucleotides) under Sinocyclocheilus grahami. RNAcentral describes it as "lncRNA (ENSSGRG00000001671.1)". The record is from RNAcentral. Lineage: Eukaryota; Metazoa; Chordata; Actinopteri; Cypriniformes; Cyprinidae.